UACGGAAGGCAGCAGUGGGGAAUAUUGCACAAUGGGCGAAAGCCUGAUGCAGCUAUGCCGCGUGUAUGAAGAAGGCCUUAGGGUUGUAAAGUACUUUCAUCGGGGAGGAAAAAACAAAACUAAUAAUUUUAUUUCUUGACGUUACCCGAAAAAGAAGCACCGGCUAACUCCGUGCCAGCAGCCGCGGUAAUACGGAGGGUGCUAGCGUUAAUCAGAAUUACUGGGCGUAAAGAGCACGUAGGUGGUUUUUUUAAGUCAGAUGUGAAAUCCCUGGGCUUAACCUAGGAACUGCAUUUUGAAACUGAAAUACUAGAGUAUCGUAGAGGGAGGUAGAAUUCUAGGUGUAGCGGUGAAAUGCGUAGAUAUCUGGAGGAAUACCUGUGGCGAAAGCGGCCUCCUAAACGAAUACUGACACUGAGGUGCGAAAGCGUGGGGAGCGAAACAGGAUUAGAUACC
Molecule: ribosomal RNA, 456 nt
Filed under: uncultured bacterium
Lineage: Bacteria
Description: bacterial SSU rRNA
Rfam family: Bacterial small subunit ribosomal RNA
Source: RNAcentral